This 427-nucleotide ribosomal RNA is filed under the name uncultured bacterium. RNAcentral's name for it is "bacterial SSU rRNA". It matches the Rfam family "Bacterial small subunit ribosomal RNA", at positions 29 to 506 of the family's 1533-position model. The record is from RNAcentral.
AUGAACGCUGGCGGUGUGCCUAACACAUGCAAGUCGUACGGUCGCAAGACAGUGGCAAACGGGUGAGUAAUAUGCAGGGAUCUGCCCCAAACUAGGAAAUACCCCGCCGAAAGGUGGGCUAAUGUCCUAUAACCCCGCAAGGGUAAAGAUUUAUCGGUUUGGGAGGAACCUGUAUCCUAUCAGCUAGUUGGUGAGGUAACGGCUCACCAAGGCAAUGACGGGUAGCUGGUCUGAGAGGAUGAUCAGCCACAAUGGGACUGAGACACGGCCCUUACUCCUACGGGAGGCAGCAGUUGGGAAUAUUGCGCAAUGGACGAAAGUCUGACGCAGCGACACCGCGUGAUUGAUGAAGCUUUUCGGAGUGUAAAAAUCUUUUCUCUGGGACGAUUAUGACGGUACCAGAGGAAUAAGAGCCUGCUAACUACGU